Mytilus trossulus (common blue mussel) is the source of this 4717-nucleotide long non-coding RNA. RefSeq lists it as uncharacterized. Lineage: Eukaryota; Metazoa; Mollusca; Bivalvia; Mytilida; Mytilidae. The record is from RefSeq and is a predicted model, not a curated record. The transcript has 3 exons.
UUCAGGUUAUAAAACAGUGCCAAUGUUUUCAUGAAGGGGAGUAAGACUUGUGGUAUAAUAUAUCUUAAAUACAAGUAAGCAUUACAGCUUGUCUGUGCAGAUUGAUGUUGGAAAUUGCUAUAUGAAAUGACUUUUAAAAAUAUUAAUUACUGUGGCUGAAGGAUAUAAUUGUGGGAUUAAUUCUCCAUACUCCUAAAUUAGAGAUGUUGUGAAGAUUCUUAACAUGUUGACAGCUGGGUGCUCUCUCUUCAGAAGACAUAAGAUUUAAAAUCCCCAUUCUGACAGGACAUGACUGCCAAUCUGUAUAUCCUGCCUGAGUAUCAUGCACUACCAAACAGAUACCUUACUUUUACAUGUAUUUUACUGCAAGUCUGAAGAAGACCAAGAGUGACCAUAUUUCCUUUUGGGUCUUUCUAACUCUACCAAACAGUUUCCAAUAUGAACAGUUCAUAUAAAUCUUGCAUACUUCUUCUUGUAUCAUAUACAUGUUUUUUGAUGGAUUAAACUGUAAAACUGUUGUAAUUUUAGCACUACCAGAGUAAUUAUAAAUGAACUGUUUUACAAAGCAAUUAUUUAAUUUUUCAUGCAUUGAGUUAUGCCAAGUCCAAAAAAAAGUAGAAUAUUGAUGAAACAUCUUACUUUCAAGGAAUUUAAAAUAAAAGUUUCUGUAAAACAAUAAUUUGUGUACUAAAUGUAAUGUAAAAUUUGUAUAUUAUUGAAUUCAUAUGAAACUUUUUUCUUCUUCUGUUGGAUAGUUAGUGGUUCAAAUAUAUGACAAUUAAGCAUAGAAAUAACCAAAAAGAAACAAAUUUCUCUUUCCUAAAUCUUCUAUAUGCACUUUUAUAUGUAAAUAUGUGUUACAGCCUAAAUUGGCCUGAAUUUAUUUUUAGUCAUGCAUCGCCUUGGACUAUUUCCUAACUGUGUGGUAUGCUAUUGUAACUUUUCCAUCCAGAAAGAAUUAUUUUAGGCGAAAUUGCUUUUAAUUUUGUGGACAAAAUUACAACUGUUUAGAAGCAUCCCCUAUUUUAUUUAAUACAUGUACAAAAAAUAACAAGCCCCAUAUUAAUAUAUGGUGAAAUGGGAUAAAAUCAACUUGGUUAUCAGAAUUUGUGAUUAUCUCCCUUUAUUAAAAAGAACUUAAGCCAGUGUAGGAAUUUUACAGGAAAUAUUUUGCCUGAAGUCUUUAAAUAGGCCUAAAUCAAACUUGAUUCAUCAAACACCUUGUUUUAAACUUAACAGAACAGUUAAUAUGCUGGUCAAUGCCCCAUGUCCUCUGCAAAUUGGAUAACUGUAAAGAAAGUCCUUAAAUGAUAAACAAUUGUUUCUUUGAUCCAAAAAAUUGAAUAUAAGGGGUUGGGGGUAUACAAUAAUCAACUAAUGCAAAGGUUGUCUGAUUUGAUUUUUCAUUAAAUGUCAAUAAAUUGGCUUUCAUUUUUAUGAUUGAAAAAUAAGGGGAGAUAAUUUUGACAUAGUAGAAUCCUGACUGCAAAAGUAGGAGGAAUGAAAAUUUCCAUAUUUUUUAUCUUUUUAACAGCAAGCUAGGUUUAUUUUGAAUAAUGAAUUUACAAAAAAGUCUAAAUUUAAAAAACAGUUUGCUAAACUGACCUGUAAAAUAAGAUUUUUCUUUCUUUAAUUCAUAAUUAUCCAAUAUAUGGAUCUAUUUGUCCAUCAAUAUCUCCAAUUCAAAUCUCCAAUAUUUAAUCCCUAAAGUUCAUGCCUUGGGUAUAUAUAUGUAAAGUUAAGUUACAUUAAAACAGAAUUUAAGGUUUCAGCAACACUUGAGGGAUUGCUGCAGUAAUUUAAUAAGAUAGACAAGUUUUGGUUACCCUGAUCAGGAUUAAAACUACAGAAGAGCACAAAAUUCCCAAGUGAUGAUUUUUUCUUCACAAUUUGUCACGAUAAGAAGAAAUUACAAAUAGAGAGUGAGUGAAGGUAUGACAGUAAACUGGAUUAAGAAUGUUAAAUAAAAUAUGUUUUUGCAAAUUUGGACGACAAUUAAUUGCAAUUAUGUACCAUUUCAACAAUAGAAGUAGUAUCGACUUGCAAAUCCAUACCAUUACCACACUGGAAGUAGUAUGGUUGUCUGAGCGAUGCCAAUUGGAAGUACGUACCUCUUAGUGAAGCUAAUUGGGAGCACACCCUCUGUCUUGUUGCGAAGCUGAUUGGAAGCAGUACAUAUAUACCUCUGUCUGCUAAAGCUAAUUAGAAGCAGUACCCCUGGCAGAGAGGUCCCAAUUAGAAGUACGUAACUCUGAGGGAAGCCAAUUGGAAGCAUGUACCUCUGCAAAAUUUGAUUAAACAAUAUUAAACAAAUUUUAUUUUACAUUCUUUUUAAAGUUUACUUGCAUACCAACUCUCAUUUUUUAUUUAUAAUUACUCCCCUUGUUGACAUUGUGACGUGCAAAUUAUCACUUUACCAUUUAGUAGAUCAUUCUAAUAAAUUACUACAACACACGAUCAAGUAUUGUUAUAAGGGUAAAAUACUUUAUUAAUUUUAGUUUAUGCACCUAUAAAUGAUAACUAAACUUACUGUAACUUUUUGGAAGCUAAGGUUCCUCAAGGUCUAUAGGGAGAACGAUAUAAAUUUGCUGUGAAGGGCAUAUGAUACAUUAACAGGGGAGGUAAUGACGUUGCUACUGUCAAAUGUUACUUUUAGCCAUGUCAAAUAGUUUAAUAUCAGGAAAAGACCCAUUUUUUGACUGAUUUAACAUGAAAAUGAAUUCAUGGACCUCUCUUUUUAAAAAUUACAUUAGGCUUGAAUAUGUUUAAAGAUUAUUUGUGCCAAUUUGAAGAAACCAGCAAUGGAAUUGUUCUAAAUAAGAUAAAUAUACAGCCAAUAAUGACGUUUCUUUUACUGAAAUCGUGACAAUAUGUUGUUACACAAAUUUAACUCAAAACACACUUAAUAUGUAGAGAUGAUAAUCCAGUUUUUUUAAUUACAAAACUCACCUUGUGUUUAUAUUUUAUGACAAAAAAGUUCAGUAUGUCUUUCUAUUACUUGGAAAUAUCCAAGAAACCUAAAUGUCUAGUAAAUGUCUAAUAUUUGACUGCUCAUCUAUCAAAGUAGCACAUAAAGGUACAUGUAUUAUUACAUAUUUGAAUUAACUAUAGGUGAAUAAAUAGCUUGUAAGCAAACUUUGGGUUCAUUAUUUUUAAUUCAUUUAUUUAAAUGUAAAAUACAAUAAAUUACUUUUUGUUUAGAUUAAAUUGUCAGAGGAUGGGGUAGAAUCAUCGGUUCUUAAGUUAAUGAAUUCAUUAGAACAGACUUUGCAAUCAUAUCAGUUUGUUAAUUAAUAUUUGUGGUCUUGAAAAAUCCUUGAAAUAAAAUAAUUACUCAUGGCACCAAAUAGAUUUUACUAGAAAUUAUUUUGUUAUGUAGUAGUUUUAAGUGAAAAUUGAAACUCUUAAUAUUUCUUUUAACAAUUUUAAAUUAUAAACCUCAUAUAUACUUUAAAAAAUUUGUUUUUAAUAAAUGAAGAAAAAAGUUGACAAUUUUCAGUUUAAAUUCAAAUUGCAGAUUUGACAUGAUAAAUUCAUUAUUUUUAUUAACAUUCCCUUGUAAGCUUUAGAUUAGAAAAUCUUGAAAAAGCAAAAGAAAAAAGUGUACCAACAGUGAAAAGAUUAAUAAUUUUAGAAUGAAUUCAAAAGUUUUCCAAUGUUUAUAGCUGCAUACUAGGAAUUGGUAUUUGUUUACUUGACAAACAUAGGAUUUUUAUUUUCAACCUUUUUUCAAUUUUUGAACCCCAACCAAAAAAAUACACUAGUUUUCUCUGCCAAUUAAAAGUGUUGUUUAGGUAUUUUGAAGCAUGAUGCCUUAUAAUUAAAUUUUGCUAGUGUUUCAUAGAAUUAUGGUUGGAAAUAUUUUGAAAACCUAGCUUCACUCUACCCAGAGUGUCAAGUUUCUUUUUAUAUACCCUUACUUUUACAUGAUCAUGUAUUUUGUUUUGAAUAGUUCUCCUUUAUUAUAGUGUCCAAAGUAUAACUCUUGAGACAGUUCUUCCAAGCAAAUAGUUACAAAACAUUUUUCCACUACAUAUUGAUUUUAUCUGGUUUUAAAUACUUCAUUAAUUAUCAAUAUAAUGAUUUUCAUUAUGUGUAUAUGUUUAUGCUUAUGAGUUGUAUUCAUGUAUACUGUAUGUAUAAAUUCCCUAGGCAUAAAAGUAUACCAGGAAUUGAUUGUCUUCUGGCGUAUGUGUUAUACAUGUCCAUGUAGGCGUAGGAAUUUUAGCACCAAAAUAUUUUAGUUGUAAAGUGACAUCUUUAUCUAUUUUAUUUCUAACUUGAACUUUGAACAUUGUAUUGUUAGGGAUGUUUUUACUUACAUAUUUACAAACAGAACAAAACAAUAUACGUCCGAGUAUGUCUCGUGAGACGACUUGUCGCAUUGGGUUGGAGCAUAUAUGACUGUUUAUGCACCGAUGGGUCGGACCCAGGUUUCCAGUUUCCCAUUAUUGGGUUUGUUUGGUUGUUCCUGGCCGGCGAGGUCGUUGAUGAUCGAGUUAUUCAUUAGUUCAGUUAUUCAGUUUACAUUCAUGUCAACCAUAUUAUAUCUCUUGUUAGUACAAGGUCUACUUUACUAGCUAAGUUGUACCUAAAAGUAUAUUUCAAGGUUUUUGUUAUUAGGAAUAAUUGUGGUUAUUGUUUUAUUCAUAUAUCUUAUAUAUUAAGACACAUGUAUAUAAUUAUUUAAUAAAUUCCGUUGUCCACUAUGCUUGCU